AGUCGAGCGAUUCUCUUCGGAGAAGAGCGGCGGACGGGUGAGUAGCGCGUGGGUAACCUGCCCUGUACACACGGAUAACAUACCGAAAGGUAUGCUAAUACGGGAUAACAUAAGAAAUUCGCAUGUUUUUCUUAUCAAAGCUCCGGCGGUACAGGAUGGACCCGCGUCUGAUUAGCUAGUUGGUGAGGUAAUGGCUCACCAAGGCGACGAUCAGUAUCCGACCUGAGAGGGUGAUCGGCCACAUUGGAACUGAGACACGGUCCAAACUCCUACGGGAGGCAGCAGUGGGGAAUAUUGCACAAUGGGCGAAAGCCUGAUGCAGCAACGCCGCGUGAGCGAUGAAGGCCUUCGGGUCGUAAAGCUCUGUCCUCAAGGAAGAUAAUGACGGUACUUGAGGAGGAAGCCCCGGCUAACUACGUGCCAGCAGCCGCGGUAAUACGUAGGGGGCUAGCGUUAUCCGGAUUUACUGGGCGUAAAGGGUGCGUAGGCGGUCUUUUAAGUCAGGAGUGAAAGGCUACGGCUCAACCGUAGUAAGCUCUUGAAACUGGAGGACUUGAGUGCAGGAGAGGAGAGUGGAAUUCCUAGUGUAGCGGUGAAAUGCGUAGAUAUUAGGAGGAACACCAGUAGCGAAGGCGGCUCUCUGGACUGUAACUGACGCUGAGGCACGAAAGCGUGGGGAGCAAACAGGAUUAGAUACCCUGGUAGUCCACGCCGUAAACGAUGAGUACUAGCUGUCGGAGGUUACCCCCUUCGGUGGCGCAGCUAACGCA
This 770-nucleotide ribosomal RNA is filed under the name uncultured Peptostreptococcus sp. RNAcentral's name for it is "bacterial SSU rRNA". It matches the Rfam family "Bacterial small subunit ribosomal RNA", at positions 60 to 859 of the family's 1533-position model. The record is from RNAcentral. Lineage: Bacteria; Bacillati; Bacillota; Clostridia; Peptostreptococcales; Peptostreptococcaceae.